This 87-nucleotide transfer RNA is filed under the name Ignavibacteria bacterium. Its description in RNAcentral is "tRNA-Ser". It matches the Rfam family "tRNA". From Rfam's summary of the family: Transfer RNA (tRNA) molecules are approximately 80 nucleotides in length. Their secondary structure includes four short double-helical elements and three loops (D, anti-codon, and T loops). The record is from RNAcentral. Lineage: Bacteria; Pseudomonadati; Ignavibacteriota; Ignavibacteria.
GGAGAGGUGCGAGAGUGGUUGAAUCGGUCGGUCUCGAAAACCGGUGUAGCGGUAACGCUACCGUGGGUUCGAAUCCCACCCUCUCCG